GGAGAGUGCCGUGCCAGCACGAGCAUGAGGGAAUGCUUCUGUGUGUAGCACAGAGGCAGCUGCACCUACACUGACCUGUGCUCCUCAGGCAUCUGUAGCAGAAAUGCUAAGUCACAGCCUGAACCAGUGAUUGAGCACCUGGUGGGAAGGCAGGGCUAACCCAGGGGAGCUCAGGUGCAAGGAAUGCAGCUGAGUUACCACAGGGGGUGGAGCCAGGAUCCACCUCUUCCCAGACCUCCUGUGAUUCUAUCUAUGACCUCAUUUAAGGGUUGGCGGUGGAGGUAAGGGUAUCCUGCUGGAGGUUCCUGCCUACCUGAGGCCUUCCAAGGGAACUCCGGGCUGAUGUGGAGAAGGGCAGGGGAAAAUUGCCUCCCGGAUGAGGUAUACGGCAAGAGCAGGUGUUUGGCAGCGAAGAAGGAGGUUGGAGGAAAUCAGAAGUGUUUCAGCCCCUUGAAGCUUUCUGGUACCUGGAAGCCUCCUCACUUCCACCUAGCGUCUUUCACCACUGCCCAUAGCCACCUGAAGUUCACGUAUGUUACAAUAUCAGGCGUGAGCUGUGCUCCAGCACGCGCUGACGGGAAUAGUCCGAGAAGACUGGCUACAGAAGGCAUUACCUGCCACGUAAGGUAUCUGUGUGACCUUCCUUUCUGAAGAGUGGCUUUUUUUCUUCAACAUUCAUUAUUUCCGAGAGCCCGUGGGCUCGGCAGCAAAUUGCAGUGAUGUUUCAGGAUUGACUGCUUGAAUGUUCUGUUUUUCAGUUUUAGCUGCUAGGGAGGAUUUCAGCAGGUUUUCAGCUAGGUUAGCUGGGCAUCACCGCGCUUCUCUUCUGCAGUGGUCAGGCAGCCCAGCUGAGCUGAUGUUACGUGGUGCCCAACCUUCUUUCAGGUGUCAGCAGAAGCACUGACAACAUCCAAAGAAAUAAGCGCAGACUUGUAUGCCAGAGGAUGGCUCCAGAAAUGGCUUGGUGUUUUAUUAACACAUCAGAAGGCUAUUGCCGUGGAUUUGUUGGUUCUCUGGAUAUACAAAAACUGCUAGAAGAGCCUCUCUGAGGCACCAUCAGAAAACCAGCUCCGUGUGAAAGCAUCUUCGUGGAGAAAGUCUGUCAGCUGCUCAGUAUGGCUUGUUUUCAAAUCUUCUUGAGAACGAACGUUGUUGCUUUUAAUCUACAAGUGGAUGCGGGGUUUAAUAGAGGCUUAAUGCCUGAAUGGCUUGCAGUCUUGUUCAGUCAGCUGUUGAGACGUAAGUAGGAGUAACAGGGAAUUGCAGAGGAGGUGUCCACGUGCAAACCUUGUAAAUCACUGUUUUGGGUGUGUGUGUGUGUGUAAAUUCUUAGAAAGGGGGAAUGAAAAGCAAACAAACAUGAAAACGAGAGUGGAAAAAGUAGUUUUAACACUUCGAUGUCAGCUCCUCCAUCCAGGGAUUUCAUCUGUGCUGCUGCUACUGGCCCAUUUUGGUGCAUAGUAAGAACAAUUCUUCUAGCUGCCAAUCAACCAUUUUCUUUUCGAUAAUUAUUCACAUUGCUGUAGAAACGGAAAUUAUCCCUAUUUUCUCACUUUCCAGUGGAAAACUGUAGUUGCAGCUGCUCCCUCCCCCCGCUUGGAAGUUUUACACGCUAAGAGUCACCAGCCAGCCUUGCCUUAAAUCAAAUCUUCCCAUGCAGCCUGGAUGCAAAUCUAGCAAGCACAGCAGCUGUCUGCUCUUAGCAAGGGGAAAAGCAACACGUUUCUUCAGCCACUGGCUAGGGAACUCCUGCUCAAAAAAGAGGGCUACGCCUUGUCUGAUGCCUUUAUAAAGUUAUAGGAGACAGUUUCCUGCGGGCUUUCACAGAUACUGCUAAUCAUCUUAAACUGAAACAGGGCUUCCAAAAACAGCAUGUAAAUCCCCAUAACACACCUUCAAUUUCUGUCUCCAAGGCUACCCAGCUGCCCUGAUCCUCUGUGACAGGCUCGAAAUGCCAUGAUGCUUCCUUUUGAACUGCUCCUUGCCCACUUUUCAAGCCCUCUUUACUCCCAGACCUCCCCACGGGCAGAAGCCCCGCUAGCUCUUGGCUUGCCUCGCUUGCUGGGGACAAGGAUUCACAGCACUGCUGCCCCGUGCUGGGUGAUGAGCAAUGGGACAUCUGUGUAACAGGGGAUACUAGGCUCUCUACUGUCCUGCAGCUGAGUGGAACUGAUUUCCACAGGGGCAUGAGAAGAGCUGGAGCCCCUGAAUGGUCCUGCCCUGCCCAGUUGUGCUCACCCAUCUGCACAAAGGCUGGGUCCAAAAGGCUCUUUAAAACCAUGUUAAUAGCAUUUUUCAUGCUGCUUUUACUGAACCUCCUCAUUCUGCUCUAAGCCAUGCAGUUCACGAAUGGCAGCUAUUCCCCAGUCAGGGAAGCGCAUUUUGGGGGACACGGUGUACGUAGCCUUACUGGACAUUUUUCAGUGAUUUUAUAUGCAGAUACUGCCUUCUCACAGUGAACCAAAUUCUGCCCUCUCCUGAAGUCUCUUGGGUCUAAAUUAGUGAGACUUUAUACAUACCGUGACUUGAAUCUGAAUGUGCUUCCUUGCUUGCAAUCCCCGUGGUCACGGAGUAGGCAAGGAGACUUUGUGCUGUAGUUUACCUUGCCAUAAGCGGGCUUUUUCGGUCAUCCUGGUGAACCAUGUGAUCAGCAGGCACAUUCCCUGUGUCGUCAAUGUGGGAGCACUUUCUGCAGGAUGCAGGAUUUGCAAAGGCACAAAUGGAUGGGGCAGCGUCCCAGCAACAUGCAGAAUUCCCCAGCCAGUGGCUCAUCUCGCAUCUUCUCUGAGAAGAUAGCACCUGAGGUCCCCCCUGAAACAUUCCCCAGGACUCACGGGAGUGCUGGAUGAGCUGAUGAGGCAUUUGUGCUGCAGACACCCCCAGAGCACUGAAGAGUCAAGAGAAUGAUGCCAGACUAGAAUCAAUGAGGCCUUAUGCGGGCACUCAAGAAUAACAAGCCAACCAGUGGAUUUGCAGGCAGCCUGUAACAGCUUGUUAUCUGAUGUCCCCUGGGCACAAACACUGAGACAUCUGCAGUUUUUGACCCGUUUUUUCCCUCUGCUGGCUCAAUAGCUAGUUAGCCAGUCAUCCAAAGUGGAAAGAAAACAGAGGGAAGAAGAGAACGCAUGCCAGUAAGCAGGAGAAGCUGGAAUAUUGGGAUGCCAAAAGGACUGGAAAUAAAAUAAGAACACAGAUUUCUUUGCUCUCCAUUAUUGUUUGUGCAUCAAGCUCUCUGAGUUUGUUUCUGGAACUCUGUUGAAAGCUUGCCAGUUGUCACUGAACUUUUAUGUUGGUUUAUUUUGCAUGUAUUUUGCAUCUCCAAUUUCUUUGUUUGGCACUGCAAGAUAAAAAUGAACCUGAACAACACACAAUGGGACUUCAUUGAUUGCCUCUGGUCCCUAUAAUCUCUUCCCAUCCCAUGAGAGGCCAGGAGGAGCCCCAGAGGAGGCUGCUGGGUCCUUUGAAAAGAGAUCCUUGGAGCACAGCAACCAUGCCAGCUAACACUGUGCUUCCCUGCUUCCAGGCUCUUGUUACUAAAGGGUGUGCCCAGGCGCUCUGAAGGGGUCAUGAACACCAGCCCCAGCCUAAUCUUCUAAUUAACUCCUGUUAAUGUAAGCGCACUCGAGAAGAUUCUUUUAGCCAUGCUGCUCAAGAAAUUAGAAGUCCUCUCUCAAAGAGAUAGAGUGUUUCUUCGUUUGUAGUUCAGCACGACAACACCAUUUUGCUGCAUGGGAAGUAUUUGCCUCAGCCUGUGGUGCUCAUUUCUCAUCCUUGGAUUACAGUUUAUUGUAAAUCAACUCAGGAUAAUAGGUGGCGGCUCAGUGUAUGUUAUCUGCAGCAUUUUAGCCUUGCAUAGGCAGAGGCCUCCUGGCUUAUUGGUUCUCUAAUUUCCACGCCUUGGAAAAGCCUAAAGAUUGGGGUGUGUGCCUUGCAAUGAUACGUAGGGCUCUGGGACCUACCAGAGAAACAUGCUGCUGCUGCUGCUGCUGCUGCUUCUCUUUUAACCUGAUGCAGCCUCAUCGCAUGGAUGCUCCGCUCAUUGCAGUCAAGGUUAGAAAGGGAUUUGAGCCUCUUUCUGAUGUGGAAAGAAAGUAGUCCCACAGGUAGAAGCACAAAGAACAGCUGAGCUCAGACCAACCUCAGGAAAAAAAAAAAAACAAAGCAAAUUUCCACAAUGGAGUGUAGCUGGACUGCAUCGAGAGAGCGAAUGUGGAGCAGGAUGAGAAUUGUACCUGCCUGUGUUAUAAGCAGAGACUCUGCAGCUCUCCCGACAUCAAUUUUGCCUAGGAGAAUCCAUCCGAAAACAAACAAAUACCAACAGAAAUGCUCCUAUUGUUUUCUUUCUCUGUUGGUAAUGAAAACUAUUCCUUUAAAAAAAAGAGCAAUAUCCUCCCCUAUGAUUUUUGCAGUCACAACACAGAAACGGAGAAAACCUGAAAGCACAAUUGACUCCUUUUGAUUUUUCCUAUUUCAAGAGAGGAGACAUGCCAGCGGGAAAGAGAACAAAAAUCAUGCUGAGUAAAUCUGGAAUUUAAACCGCCACCGAUGAUCAACAGCGACCAUCCAAAUAUUUAUUUCUUCUUCUACAGUUUCUUUCCGUUUAAGCCGAUGAGCAGAUCUUUAAUUUGAUGUUCAGUCAUCCUUACUUAAAGGCAUGUAUCUUUUAGGUCGUUUCUUUAAUUAUUCACUUCUGCAGGAAUUCAGACGGCAAGAUUUGGGGGAUAAUGUAGUCACGUACCGCCUUAGCAUGCUGCUUCUCUUCAAUAAUUUGUCUAUUAGUGACCUCCAUUUGGUACUAGAGAUCAAGUCCUCCUUGCACUGGCCUUGACAAGAAAAUGUCCAACGGAUUGAGCAAGGUGUUGGCUUUAUCCCUACUGCACGUGCCAUGGCAGAGCUGCCACAACAUCUAAUGCCAGAUCUCUAUUACCUAGACAGUGCUUUGAAAUACGGCUCUGUGUAUGGGAUACAGUCCCAGUUUCAAGCAAGAAGCAAGGGAGGGACUCCAGCUCUGCUGCUGGAAGCAUACAAGCGAGGCAUGAAGCAGGGAGAUGUCCUCCUGACUGCCUAGCAGGCUGGAUAAGUUUCUGUGUGUAGUUUGCUCGUGUAGCAUCGGCGAUGUGUGCAAUCUGCAGCCACUCGCAGGUCUCCGCAACCUGCCUGCUUCCCAGUUAUCGUGGCUGCAGACCACCAUAAGCAUUUCUGCAGGCAAGCUUCUAAGGUCAUGCUGCUAAACCUCCAUAUAUGCGCUGAAAUAUCAUGAUACAUGGGUUUGGUUUUUUUUUCUCUCCUUGCGUGUUUAGUGCUUUAAAAUUCCAUCCAGUUCAACAAGAGCUCAGCAUGUAAUAUAAAGCAGCUGUUUAUGGGUGCUUAAGUACAGAGUUAAGAACCAAACUUCAGGCAGCCAGAUUUGAAAAGCGUAGUCAGUCCUUAAAUGAUGUGCUCUGCUGAAAGGGGUCUACUCUAAAAAUGCUCAUGAAGUGUGAGGGUUUAUGAUGGAAAGGAACCUGUAGCAAGCAGCGUGUUUGCUUCCCACUUUUCCUAGGUUUCAUUAUGCCUUCCUGCCUCACAGAACAGCUGUAACAUUAAACCCAUUGAAAUCUGUAAAGUGCUCAGAGAUCUACUGAAGGGAGGCAGGACAGAAGUAAAAGGUACUCAAUUUUCAUCGCGUUUUAUCAGGCAAGAGAGUUUCCCGAAUGUCUUCGUAACAAAUAAGAAUAAAUAGCUGCACAUGUAAAAUGUAUCCUGCGCUCACUAAUAGGUAUCUUCCGGGCAGUGGUUGAGGAGAAUCUCUAUUUAAGAACAGCGUAGAUCUGAAGACUUGAAUUCAUUUUUCAAUACCUUUCUUAGGGCCAUAGCCUUAUGCACUUCACUAGUGCAUGAAUACUAUCCAAAUCUACUGGCAUUCGAGUAAUAGUGGCAAAUAGUUUGAUUGUUUUCUCCUGUCAAAUUUCUACUAGAUUUUCAAAUAAAUCACUCACAAACGUUGUUGUUUUUUUUUUUUUCCUCAUGACUUGGUUACCUCAAUAGCCAGCUGAAUAAUAUUCAUCAAAUAAAUUACUUAUUUUUUUUCCCAUCAAUCUGCAAAUAAUUAAUUCACAGGUACUUUUUACAUGAAGCAGUCAGCUCUAGCCAGGGCAAAUCAAGGUAAUUUCCUGCUCUUUUGAUCAAAUGCCAGCAGGACUUUAUCUUGGACAGCUCAAUAGACACAGGUUUUAAUGCAUAAUACAUAAUGGGUAAGCUGAGUUUUUCACAGUUCUUUGAGAGCUCUCUGCUAUUGCCCAUAUUUCUGUUCAGCUACCGAGAGAGGCCUGACAAGGG
Molecule: long non-coding RNA, 6318 nt
Organism: Gallus gallus (chicken)
Lineage: Eukaryota; Metazoa; Chordata; Aves; Galliformes; Phasianidae
Source: Ensembl